GGGGCCUUAGCUCAGCUGGGAGAGCACCUGCUUUGCAAGCAGGGGGUCAUCGGUUCGAUCCCGAUAGGCUCCA
Transfer RNA from Celeribacter marinus, 73 nucleotides. It matches the Rfam family "tRNA". From Rfam's summary of the family: Transfer RNA (tRNA) molecules are approximately 80 nucleotides in length. Lineage: Bacteria; Pseudomonadati; Pseudomonadota; Alphaproteobacteria; Rhodobacterales; Roseobacteraceae. The record is from Rfam.